GGCAGCCCAUUCCACUGCCUGACCACUCUCUGACUCAAAUGUGUCAGAGGAUUUCUACAAAAUCCAGGGGCAACUCUCAGCUGAAGGCAUUUACAUGUGCUGCUAUUCAUCUGCCACCUGUACAGAAGUGCAAAAAUUUGCAAAAAUGUGAAUACAGCUCAAAAGAGACCUUAAGUAAAUGAAUAGGAUAUACAAAUGAUUUGCAGCUUGCCAGUAUUUUCCUGUCAAAGCAAAGAACAUCACCUGUUGUGACAACAUAUUUGCCAACAGUAGGUUUACCCACUAACUGAUGCACAUCUACAAGUUUUAUCCCAAAAACCCUAAAGCUUUCAACAAACUGCCUACACAGAAGCUUCUCCCACCGCACUGACAUGAAGCCACUUCCAUGAUUAAUAUUAAAAGCUGCUGGAAACUCCAGCAUGAGCAUAAAUUCAUUAAAAGUCAUGAAAGUCUCAGAUACUGCAAAAACAAGAACAGUAAUACAGUAUUAUGUAAGUGUAUAUAUGAGAUAUGCUAUAGUUUUAUAGAUGUAAUAUAGUGACACAACUGUGUUUUAAGACUAGCAUAUCUUCGUACUGUCAUUUACUUAAAUCUUUGUGUGCUACAUAAAAAUAUUUGAUCUUUCUAAGUAGAACUCUGCGACUAUUUUUCUCACAACCAGCAUGUUUUUAUUUUACAGGGACAUCACCCUGGAAUUUUGAGUUAUCUGACCCUUGUUAUAAAUUGGUUCUUUGCACAUUUGAGGCAUGAUCCACACCAAACCUAUCCAGAUUUUCUCUUCUGCCUUAGCCAUACCCAUCACAGUAUUAGAAAAUAUAAGAGCCUAUGCUUAAGGAAAAUAUAGAGUGUACGAAUGAAAAGUCUAACUGAAGAGUUAGAAAACAGACUAUCAGUAAUCACAGAGGUAGCAGCUCUGGAUUAAUAAUCUGCUCAUCAAAAUACCAGGCAGAUAUACUACCUGUAACUGCCAUGAUGUGUACAAAAUGGGCUCACAGUUAAAUAAGCCGCAGAAGAAAUCUUCCAGCAGCUGGAUGUACAUUUUCCACUGGGGCAUUGCUAUUUCCAUCAGAUCUGUAGAAAGAAGAUGAUCCUGGAUGCCAACAGCAUACUGCACUGGUUCCUGGCAGCACAAUAACUGUGCUCUCGGGACCUGAUCCCAUAGUACGAGGAGAAGCUACAAAUGGAUUUCGUGGAGACCAUGCUGUACCAAGCCUUGACAACAUAACACAUACAGAGGCAGAGUUAAAGAUGUCACAGUGAUGAUAACUAAAAAAUCACUUUGAAUGGUAUGCAGGAUUUUUUGUGAGGGUGUUGUCCAAGCUAGCUGUUCACCAGCUGUACUGAGAACACGCCGAUGGGAGAGAUUCAUCUGUGGUGAUCAAGGGAGCUUGUACAAGCAAUGCAUCCACAGACUGCUGAGGCAGCAUGAAGCUAACUGUCCUCCCAAGCAAAAGAAAUGAUAACAGCAUGGCAACACACUUUAUGGUGUCAUACGCUCCCUAAAGCAUGCAACCUCUGUUUCAUUGACUAGCCCUGGCCAAAACUGCCCACGGCUGCUACUCUUAGCUAAUCUUGGCCAAGUGCCCUUCUGGACUGCAGGGGCUGCUUUUGCAUAGCUGAUCUGCACGUGGCAGAGGAGAAGCCAGUCUCAGUAGAGAAGGAUGACAGUAUCUAUCCACAAAAGAAAGGGCUUGACAAACACUGUCCCCUUAGCAACCAGUAAUGCUGUAUCCAUAGCCAGACCUCUUAGGGUCUGUUCUCUGCAAGGAACUUGCAUCUUCAACCAGUUUAAUUUUUGCCUAAUUGCAGUGACUUAUUGUGUGCAUCCUCCCAUGCAGCUGAGAGCUUGAGCCCAGCAAAUUUAGCACCCAGCUAAAUGUUUCUUCUACUGAUAAAAGCUUAACUGUGCCUUUUAAUUAUUCUGAAUAUACCUAAGAUACAUAGCAACAUGUGAUCUACUCUGAUUUCUGGACUUAGCAGAGCUGUUCUUAAUUCUGUUUCUGAACAUAUGUUCUGUUCUUACUUUUAAAAUAACUAGCAGAAUAUGUCAUUCAUUCUGAUGGCACCACAAGUAUUCUAUUGAUAUAUUAAUGACUCUACUGAAUUUAAAGAAUUUUUUUUCUAAAAAUAUAUGCAACCUGCAAAAUUGUUAAAAGUCACUGUUAAAUGUGAAACCCAUUUAAAUAUAUUUCAUGAUUA
Molecule: long non-coding RNA, 2199 nt
Organism: Gallus gallus (chicken)
Lineage: Eukaryota; Metazoa; Chordata; Aves; Galliformes; Phasianidae
Source: Ensembl